RNAcentral lists this long non-coding RNA (43940 nucleotides) under Gossypium barbadense (sea-island cotton). RNAcentral's name for it is "long non-coding RNA (GBAR_LNC008313)". Lineage: Eukaryota; Viridiplantae; Streptophyta; Magnoliopsida; Malvales; Malvaceae. The record is from RNAcentral.
CCACUUACAAAACAAGCCCAAACCAAGCCCAAUCUAACCCUAGCCCAAAGUUAACAGAAAAAAACAAAAAUACCAAAACCCUAGGUGUGCCGCACCUAGGGUCUUCUGACCAGCAGCCUCAGCACAGCCUCUGCUGCCACCCACGUGCUGUCUGACACCCUUCAACCACCAUCUGCAAAGAAGAACAGGAAAGAGACAGAAGCCAUGUGCAGGAACAGUAACAAAGAAGCAAAAACGCAAUAGCAAUGAACCAUAAUCAACAGUAGCAAAUAGGCAGUGAAUCGGCUAUAAAGCCACCAAAACAAACGAUUGUAAGGGGUGAUUUUUGAAUACAAAAAAAUACUGUAUUACACGCAUAUUUCAGAAAUCAAAAGAAAAAAAAAGGGUUGAUUUUGAUUUUCUCUUCUUUUUCUUUUCGUUUUCCCUUUUCUUUUUUUUAUAUUAUUACAAAUCUAUUUUCAAGCAAAAUGAUAAAAUAAAAAAAAAGAGGAGAGAAAACUUACCCGAGUCCGAUCUUGCGUGACUCCGACCACUGUCCACGGUGGAGCCAAGGCUGUUCGGCGAUGGUGCGAUGAUGGGUUUUCAAAACCCUAGCAGAAAAGGAAAAAUGAAAAAGGAAGGGGAGGGGCUACUCUCUGUUUUUAGAAAAAAAGAAAGGAAGAAAUGAAAAAAAAAUUAAAAAAAAUUUGGCUUUAACAGCCCUGCAAAACGACCAUGUUUUGCUUCCCCCCCCAUACGCCUUAAAACGGCGUCGUUUAGGGGGGAACCCGCGCGACCCGACCCAGGUAGUGGAGGAUUCGCGUGUUUUCAGACGUAUGGGCUAUUUACGCCCUUAGUCCUUCCACCUUUGGGGACGUUUCAAAUGGGAUCCUUUCUGUUAUUUCCAUUUCAGCCUUAAAAUUUUAUUUCAGUUUCAAUUUAGUCCCCCAAUUUAGCCCAUACACGCUGCGCACAAGGGACCAAGGAUAUUUUCCCUUUUGGUCGCUAUUAGUUUUUGCGCAUUACGUUUUAAUCCUCCACUUUGUUUUUCAUUUCCGAUUUCCCCCUUUAAAAUUUGUUUAGCUUCCAAUUGUGGUCCUUAUUACAUAAUUUCAACUUUUACUAUUAUUUUUCCUUUUAUAGAUAUUUUAUUUUAUUUGUUUUGUUUAUAUAUUUUAUUUUUGUUUACUGAUUUAGGUAUUUAGUUAUUAUUCUUUGGUUCUUUAAUAUUUAAUAUUGUCUUUAAUUUUUUUAUCAUAUUUUUUUAUAUUUUUCUUAUAUUUUAUCUCCUCUUUUAUGUUUUUAUUUAUUUCUUAUUGUCAUAAUUAUUGUUAUUUAUUUACAUACCUCUUCAUUGCCAUUUUAUUACUACUACCUUUAUUAUUGAUAUUAUUAUUAUUACAAUUAAUUAUUAUUAUUAUCAUUUCUUAAUUGUUUUAUUUAAUAUUUCUUUAUCCUUCUAUCUAUUUGCUUAUUUUCAACUUUUUACUUGCUUUUUUUAACUGGUCUGUCUUUUUUAUUUCAUUUAUUAUUUAUCCUUUUUUAUUUCUUGCUCUUAUUGUUGUAAUUUAUAUUAUCGCAUUCGCUAUUAUUCUAUUAUGCAUAUUAAUAUCGUUUUUAUCAAGCAUAUUAUGCCAUUAUUACUACGAAUUUGCGUUGCAUUAAUAUUUACCCACUACAUAAAAUGUCGUGUUUUAAAUACGCAAUAUUUUCGCAUUUCGGAAAUUCAAGAAAUCUUACCCUCACUUAUAAGGUUUUGAUUUUAUCGUUAAACCCAGAUAGCAAAAUAUCUCUUCAAAAUUUAAAAUAUAUGAAUUUUAAAUUAUAAUAAAGAUAACAUUCCGUGUUCGGAGAUUUUAGAGAUCGUGUCCUAAUGUGUUGGAUUUCUAUUUUUUUCGUUUGACCCAAAUGACCGAAUCACCUUUUGAAAUUAAAACGCAUGGGUUUUGAAAAUCAAAAGACAAGCUUAUUCUCGAGGUUUUAAAAUGUUGUGUCUUAACGUACUGGAUGUGACAUUUUAUUACUUCGGAACAAGAAGGUCUUUAACAUUUGUUUCGAUUUACGCAAGUAAAUUCUUCGUAAAAAAUCAACAUUAAAAAAGAGAAGAUCGUUUUUUUAAAUCUUUUCGAGUUUUUAAAUUUCAACAUUAAGACAUUAAUUAAUCAAUUAGGUACCAAUCUUGGGAGUUACAAGGGUGCUAAUUCUUCCUCGUACGUAACCGACUCCAAAAUAUGUUUUCUCAAAUUUUGUAGACCAAAAUCGCUGUUUUAGUAAUACCAAAAUAUUUUAUUAAAACAAUUAAAUUACGAGGUAAUCUGACUGCACUUAAAUAAAAAAAAGAUUGGUGGCGAUUCUUAUUUUUUAUUUUCACUUUUAAAAUAAAAGUCGACUCAUUUUUUUCAAAAAAAAUGGUUUCAACAAAAUCCGUGGAUAUUAAUAUUUCUCUUAAAUGAAUUUUGGGAAGGAACCAUUUUAAUUGUAGGAUAUUGUUUACACUCCAUGAUCCUAUUCUUAGGCGGUAGUGAUCCUCUGCGGUUGAUUCUGUCUAGUAUAUUCUUAGGAUGUUGGCUAUUCAUUAGUCUAUGUAGGUUCUAUAUAAAGGGAUGUUGUGCACGUUGUAACUCGUAAAAAAUCAAAUUUAUAUUUAUUCUUUUUUUCAACCUACUUGUUUUCUGUCAAUUAAAAUUCUAACACUUCAAAUAUCAGAGUUCAAAUUUCAUAAAUGAUAUCUUCUUUUCAAAAACUUGCAAUUUGAAAGAAAACAAAAACAAAUUUUAAACUUGCAUGGGUGCCUAAUUCUAGAAAACUGUUAUUGAUGAAUUAUUAGAAGAAAAGAAUUUGAAACUAAAGGGUUUAAUGUCCAUAAAAACACUAAUUAUAAACUUUAUUAACAUUUCCAAAUUAUAUAGUGUUGGAGUAAUCAAAUGAAAAGUUAUAUCAAUUGAUUAUUAAUUAGAAUUUGUCACUAUUUAUAGUGAUGAGUUAUGCUUCUUAAAUUCUAAAGUUUUGUCACUUGAUUAUUAACAAAUAGUUAUAAUUAUUCAGGUAGAUAUCUAUCAGAUAAUUAUGUUUAUUACUAAAGAUAUGACUAUCCAUUUAGGUAGUUAUGUCUUUAUGAUGUAGAUAUCUAUAUUUCAUUUACAUGACACGCCAAACAACAUAGAAACUUUGUUUUUAUAUUUUCAUCAGUAUAAAAUGUAGACAAUUAUUAAGCUUCAUUGUAUCCUUAAGGUUCAUCUACUAUUAAUCUUUUCGCACACUAUAAUAUAAGUGGGGGUGAACAGAACUUUAAAGAAAGUGGCAUUGCCUUGAAGCUUUCAUUAAUUUCUUAUAAAUUCAUUUUAUCCCCCCACCAACAAUUUUAAGGUUCUAUUUUCGUAAUUUAUGAUAAAUUAAAGAAGGUAUGGCUAUUCACUAUGCAUUCACAUGCCACUACAAUCAUGGUACUAUGAGGAUGACUUCAGAAAGGGGAUAACAUUGAGGUUAGUGAUUUAAUUAUUGGCUUAGAAGAAAUAUUUGUAGCAAUAACAACAGAUACGUCAAUUUUUGGUUUACUAUUAUUGCAUGAAUUGAAUUUCAUGGUUAUGUUCUAUCGAGAUUAGUUAUAUUAUGCAAAAAGUAUAAGUGUCUCAUGGAUUAGUUUUUGAUAAAGUCAAAUGCUAAUUUAUUAUAUACAUGAUAUACAUGCAUAGUUAUGACUGGUACAUAAUUAUGUAAUAUAUAUGAUAUGCAUAUAUUUUUACAAUCAUGAAAGGAGAAAGAAAAGGAGUUAAUGAAAUUUUUAAGCAAUGCAAGGAAAUAAUGUUUCGGUUGGCCCCUUAAACCGAAAACAUAUGUUUGUUCAAUGAUUUCAAAUCAUGAUAACCAUGUAUAUUUAGUAAACUUCCAACCAUGAAAAUUUAUGAUUUUUCAAAAAGACAAUUCUAUACUUAUUUAUACAUUAUAUGUAGAUGUUUGGUUGGAGUUGAAUUAAAUUAAUUCACUCCAUUUAAUUUGUGAGUGAAAUUUUUAGUGCAAAAUUAUUUUUUUGUGAUAUAUAUUUAAUUUGAUAUAUGAAUUUAUUUGUUUAUUUAAAUCAUGAUAUUAGUAACUAGCAUUUAAAUGAUAUUGAUGAGCCAUCAUUUUCAUUUCUAAAAUGAAAGUUUGUAAAUGAUCAUUAUAAUAUAAAUAAUUUUUGUUGUUGUUUUUGUUAAAUAACCUUAAGCUAAAUGGGCUUCAUAUAUGAUUGCACCUUUUUUAUUUUAUGUAAUCAGGUUUGAAAUAGAAGUGGUUUUGACUAGAAAUGAAAUAAGUUAUAUGCAUGGUUAAUUUUUCUAGUCAACGUAGAAUAGUAAAAAGCAUUGACCUAUAUAAUAAGAUCAAUAUUCUGGUAUGAAAUCUCCUAGUGAGAAUAUAUAACGUGAUAAUCAUAUAUUUGAAAUCAAGAUGAUAUUGUACAUAUUCACGAUAGUACAUGUGGUUUUUUUAUAUACGGUUUGAUUAUGAUCUACAAUCUCGUGGUUCUAUACAAUUUUGAGAUGUAAUACUCAACUCAAUGCUUAGUAUAACGUUUAAGUCUUGAGUUCAAUGAGAUAAAGUACAACAUCAAUAUGUGACUAUUAGCACUAUAAAAUAAUAUAUAUAAUAUAUCAUCCCAAGGUAAAAAGUGUUAGGUACUCGUAAUGAUAAGGGGAAGGAUGAGUAUUACACUCUUAAGACCCAUAACAUAAAUAUGUUAGUGUUAUAAUUACAAGAGCACUAUUGAUGGGAUCUACCUAUGUGAGUGGAAGUGUGGCUGAUUCUAGGAGCUUAGGGUUUAGCUUUGACAACACUCAUUAAAAAGAGGUUACAAACACAUUACCAUAAUAGUGUCAUUGGAUGCUAUGCAUUAAUUGGCAUUGAAAUCACUGUGUGAGAUGUGUUCGGUUAACCAAAUUGAAUAGUUGGUCCAAAGCAUAGUUUACUAUGCAAUUUUGAUUAACUUUAACAUGUUUUCACUAAGUGAAGGUUCAAUCGUAAGACACCUUACACAAUUGAUUUCCAAAUUUAUCAAAAUCUAGAAUAUGUUGAAAAUGGGAGAGGAUUGUUAGAACAUUUCCAAAAUAUAUAGUGUUCCAGUAGUUGCAAAUGAAAAUUUAUAAGUAACCAAAGUUAUGUCACUUGGUUAUUAACCAAAAGUUGUCACUAUUUACAGUGAUGAGUUAUAUCUCUUAAAUCCAAAAAUUAUGUCACUUGAUUAUUAACAAAUAAUUAUAAUUAUUCAAGUAGAUAUCUAUUGAACAAUUAUGUUAUUGUUAAAGAUGUAGUUAUAUCCCUAUAAAGAGACAUGAGACCUUUUGUAAAUAGGACUUGUAAAUAGGAAUGGAAUUUCAUUUGCGUGACACACCAAAAAACAUAGAAACAAAGUUUCUUUUUAUUCUUCCACCAUCUUUCAUAUUACUAGAUUGUUCUAUAGAGAAUUAUUGUAGAUUUUUUUUUAUAGAAAUUGAUAUUAUUGUUAUGCUCCACUUAAUGCUCAGUUGAUUAUUUCUGUCGAUGCAAAACGUAAAUAGUCAUUGGGCUAUUGUAUCCUCAAGGUUCAUUUGCCACUAACUCUUUUACAUACCAUAAUAUAGGUGGGGCGAAUAGUGUUGGAAAAAAUUUGGUUCGAAAAUGCUUUUCUUACAUAGUGAAAAAUUAAAAUUUUGAAAGUCGAGUUAGUUUGUGAUAUUUAUAGCAAUAAACUUUAUCUGAAAUCGCACCUAUGUUUUUUGGCUAGACAGAUCCUUGUCAUUCCCGACUUUCAACUAAACGACCUUCUCUUUUAUUCUCGUACCACGAAUUGCUUUGAUUGUGGGCUCAAACAAAUUCAAAUCAAACACAAUGCAACACCCUAACCCGUAUUCGUCGCCGAUUAGGGUCACAAGACAUUACUAAACAAAAGCACAGUUCCGAACAUUUACAUAUUCACACAAAUCAUAAUCGUAUAUAUAUAUAAAGCAUGUAGCUAAUUAAAUAUUAAAAAUACAUUAUUAAUUAUAUUGCAAACACGAAUUGUACCUCAAGAUUCAAUCAAAUUCAUACCAUUUCCAUCUCCCAAACUUAAAUUUAACAUAUACUGAGCAUAUAUCAUAAAUUCAAAUUUGAUUCAUAUAUUUUAUUAUUAUUUUUAUUUUAUAUUCGAAGCAACUAGCUUGCCACAAGUCAUGUUAUACACGCUUUAUAAUUCUACUAUUCUAACCAUACAUAUAUCUCAUUUAUAGCUUCUCUACUUAACAAAUUAUAAGGAAACUUAUUACUCCACAAUUCCAUGCACAUACAUUGAUACAUCCAAACAUGAAAUUUUAGCAACCAUUACUAAAUGGUCAAGUUAUUCCACAUGAAUUAAUAGACAAAAUUAUACAAGUACAUACAAGCAUUACCAAAUGAUCGAAUCUCAAUCGUAUUUAUAACUAAUUCAUGCAGCACUCAUUUGACUAAUAUUAGUCAUUUACUAAGUACCAAUGUCGAAUCAAAAUAUGUCAAAUUCAUAUGCUAUGCAUCAUGCUAAAAUGUCAUUUUCAAAACCAAAUUGUUUUUCAUCUAUUCAGCUAGCAAAUUAAUUAUAAAAAUAUUUUAUACCAAUUUCAUAACCAAAUAGUCAUAUUAACUAAACACAUUAAACUUGACUUAAUAAUUAACAAAUCAACUAUAAUUCAUUAACAUUCUUGUCUCCAUAACUGCACCAAUAAAUCCAAUUAUACAAGCAAUGAUUUAUUCAUUAUUUAGCUUAUCCAAUUAAGCCACAACCAAAAAGACAUUCAUCAACCGAAUCAUUACCCAACCAAAACAUGAAACUAAGACACCAUACACACAUACCAUGAAACAUACUUCCCAAAAUAAGCUUAUACCAUGCCCGAAUAUACACAAACAUUAACCUCAUUAACAAGCCAUUUUCGCAUGGCUAUAUAUAUAUACAAAUCAAAAGGAACCAUAUUGAAACUAGCCUAUACAUUCCACAUAAUCAAAAACUCAAAGCUUUUGUUUACUGAAGCGAUAACCGGAUAGUGUGAUGACGUCUCCAACAACUUCCAACUCAAGCUGGUCUCUAAAACUCUAUAGACAUAGGAAGAACACACAGAGUAAAAUUUGAAAGUUUAGUAAGCCAUAAGCAAAUAAAUCAUUUCAAUGAUAUUUAUAAACCAAUAUCAAUAAAUCGAACUUAACAUAUCUCAAUCACAUAUACAUUCAUUGUACUCGUAAAUUCACAUAACCACAUUAAAUUACUCCAUUUAUCUUAUUAAUCAAUGAACGUAUAACCAUGCUUUCAAAUUCGAAUAAUAUCCGUUAGCUCAAUCAUAAAAAUCAAGCUCGCACAUAUUCAUUACAUCGCCAACCAAACCAUGGUCAUUUAUUACAAAUCAUAUAUAAAGUUAUAUCAACUUCUUCAUAAACGUUUCCAAACUCGAACAUCCAUAAUUCCCUUAUUCACAUAAACCAAAAUCGCAUACAUGAAUCAUAUAGCCAACCAAGAUCAACUUUAUUUUUACUAAUUAUAUAUUACAUACAAAGCAUACACCAAUUUAACCAUUUUAAUUUCAUUGUCUGUUCAAAUUUUCAAACCAAGCAGUCAUACCUCAAAGCCAUGUUUCAUGUUUCAUAAAUCUCAUGUCCGAAACAUAGGACCACAAUUCCAUAUUAUGAGUAUAUAUAAUAUAUCAUUCAUUGUCAUAUAUUUCACAUAUGGUCAUAUGAUACAUACUCACCUUUCAUUUCUGAAUUUCAUAAAUAAAUCACACGUACCUGAAUUAGAUACAAUUUCGCAUAGAUAUUCAUUUCUCGGAAUGCCCGUUGAACCGUUCGGAAUCAAUAAGGAUACUCGGAUAGCUCAUUAGCUCGUACAAUGUCAACAUCCCAGACGUGGUCUUACAUGUAAUCAAAUAUCGAUGCCACUGUCUCAGACAGCGUCUUACACGAAAUUAAAUAUGAUGUCAAUGUCCCAGACAUGGUCUUACAUGUAAAUCACAAAUUGAUGCCAACGUCCCAGACGUGGUCUUACACAAAAUCACAUAUCGGAAUCCUAUGUCAUGACAUAUGUAUCCUACACUAUUCCUAUGGUUCAUACGAGGCUUUCAGAAAUCGUAAUUCAAUCGAUUCAAGCUCGUAACUAGUUCUCCAAUGCUUAAUUCAAUUUGGCAUAUACACAUUUUUUUUAUUUUAAUUCAAUUCGGCACAUAUAAUACAUAUACAAUCGAAUUUAACAACAUUUAUUUACUUAUGAACUUACCUCGUACGGACAUGAACGGAUCAGAAUGACUACUCGACAAUUUUUGACUUUUCCUUGAUCCAAAUCCGAUUUUUUCUUUUCUUGAUCCAAAUUAAGCUUCAAAAGUGCCGAAAAUUCAAAUCUUCAUCCAUGGCUUCAUUUUCUUCCAACAUUCGGCCAAAAAGAUGAUAAUGCAUGUCCAAUUUAUGAAUUGUUUUAUUUAAUCACAUAUUAAUACUUAAUUUAUUAUUUUAACCUUUAUAAAAUAAUAUAAAAGUUUAUAAUGGUUGUCCACUACCGUCCAUGCUAAAAUUAAAUGGCCUAAUUUCAUUUUAAGGCCUCCACCUUUAAAAGAACAUAGCAAUAUAGCACUUUAACAAAUAGCAAAUCAUUUUUGUAUUUUACGUGAUUAAGUCCUUUUAUCAAAUCAGACACUCAAACGAUAAAAUUAAGUCACGAAAUUUCACACAAAUUAAUUAACAUGAUGUAAACACCAAAAAUAAUAUUAAAAAAAUUUUGACUCGGAUUUGUGAUCCCGAAACCACUGUUCCGACUAAGGUCUAAACUGGGUUGUUACACACAAAACCAAAAAUUAUUUAUUUUACUUUUAAUAGAAAAGAAAACCUCUAUUCAAUAGCAACUGGUAGAACUGUUAUCAUCUAUGUUGAAUUCAUUGGUUUGAUUAUUUCAAUAAGUUUCCGCUUCACUUGCAAUUCAGUGUUAUAUUUUUGCAACUCCUAAAUCCUCUAAAGAAAUACAGGUUUAGCUCUCAACUCGGCUAAAAUAAAGACAUCCCACCCCAAAGUCAAACAGGCAUUCAUCGUUUAUAAAGCGAAUAGAGAUUUUUACCUUAGAGCAUCAACCGCAACAUUAGCUUUUCCUGGAUGAUAGUCAAUGAUCAAAUCGUAGUCUUUAAGUAACUCAAGUCACCUUUACUGCCUCAAAUUCAAUUAUUUCUAUGUUAGCAAGUAUUUUAGACCUUUAUGAUCCGUGAAAAUGUGACAUUUUUCUUCGUACAAAUAAUGUCUCCAUAUCUGCAAAGCGAAAACCACAGCUGCGAGUUUCAAGUCGUGAGUAGGAUAAUUCUUCUCAUGUGGCUUAAGUUGUUGAGAAUUAUAAACAAUUAUUUUCCCCUCUUGCAUUAGUACACAACCUAAACCAUUGGGUGAAGCAUCGCUGAACAACACAAAGUCUUGUCCCGAUUCAGGUUGGGUUAAAAUAGGAGCUUCACUUAACAUUGCCUUCAACUUUUCAAAACUCAACUGGCACUUUUCAUACCAAAAGAAACUAACAUUCUUCUGUAGCAAUUUUGUUCACGGAAGGGGUAUCACCAAAAAUCCUUUUAUAGAUCGCUGAUAGUAUCCUACCUGUAACAUCCCCUACCCGUAUCCGUCGCCGGAAUAGAGUAUGAGGCAUUACCGAGGAGUACAAAAACACUUACAGAUAAUUUAAAUAUAUUUUCAUAACAACUUGUCUCGAUUUCAUACUAUUUCAUAUUUAAGCUUUACUCACCAAAGUAUUUGAAAUAUCAUCUUUAUGCAAAUAUCACACAUGAGGUACAUAAUUCCAUAAUUAAGAAUGAACACAUUUAUCAAACAUAUUCCACAUUCAUAUAUCAAUGUCUCACAUUUCCAUAUAUUAAUAACCGUCAUUUUUCUUGUUUUUCAGAUAAUUAUGUGUAACUAUUGAUAAGCAUGCAAUUCACUGUUUCUUCCUAUCAAUCACAAUUUCAAAUGACAAAUUCGUGUGAAUGAGCUCAACCUCAUUAGGUUUUUAAAUUCUGUCACUUUGAUUCACAUACUCAUAAUUUACUAACAUAUCCUGUCAAACACAAUCUCUGAAUGACAAAAUCACAUAAUUGAGCUCAAUAAUAAUAAUGAUAACAUUACUUACAUUUCUUUUUCCACAUGUUACAUUUACGACUUACCAACUUGUCCAUUCAAGGAACAGCUUACGGAUUUGAGUACAUCGUGAUCUGAAGCCCGAAGUCUAACUGAAGCACAUAAGUGCUAAAUGGAAGCCUGAAGGCUAACUGAAGCACAUAAGUGCUAAACGGAAGCCCGAAGGCUAACUGAAGCUCACCAGAGCUGAACUGAAACCCCAAAAGGGUUAACUGAAACUCAUAUGAGUUAACGGAAGCUUGUAAGAGCUAAACAGAAAGCAAACACAAGAAUUCGCAACAAAUGCUGAAUCUCGGUUUACUUGGGUAAUUUACCAUCAAUUCAUCUUUUUCACUGAAAGAUUGUACUUAUUUCUUGCGUUCCGUUCCUCCGAAAUUCUCAGUUCAAUUUCAUAACUUUUGUACAUAAUUUACUUAUUUUCAACAACUAAUAUACAUAAAUAUUAAUCACCAUUCAUAAAAUAAUAUUGAAAUUUAAUAAUAUUAACAAAUGGUCACUAAAUUUAGUUAUAUAUACUCACAAGUUCGAUUUUUGUAUUAUAGCGAAAAUCAUAAUUUCAUAAUAAAUAUUCCAAAUAAAACAUUAUACCGUUUCUAAUUCAACAUUUAUCGAUUAUAAUCGCGCAUGUGAUCAAUUUAUACACGAGUCAUUCAUAUAUUUUUGUAUAUUUUCCUCCUCCUCCUCUCCAUCCACAUCCUUAGUAUAAACAACACACUUGUAGGUAACAUUAUCCAUAAUUUUCACUAUCUACUUAUGUGAAUAUUCAAGCUGUCCAUCUGUGUCAUGGUCACUAAAUUAUUUUUAUCUUGAGCUAAAGAAUUCCAAAUUAAGAUCCAUAAAUUUAACCAGAAACUAGACUCAUAGGUCUUCUUACCAUAAAAAUUUCAUAAUUUUUAGUUAGGCCAAUUAAUACAGUUUAUUCAUUAAAGUCUCCCCUGUUCUGUUAUCUGACAGUUCCGACCCUUCUUCACUAAAAAUUAAUUAUCUCCUCGUACAGGAUUCGAAUGAUGUUCCCGUUUAUUUAUAUUGAAAAUAGACUCAUUCAGGAUUCUAAACAUAUAAAUUAAAGCCCCUAGUUAUUUUUAUCCAAUUUUUUAUGAUUUUACAAAGUCAGAACAGGGGAACCCGAAAUCAUUCUGACCUUGUCUCACAAAAUUUAUCAUAUCUCAUGAUUUACAAUUCCAUUGCUUACAUUAUUUCUUCUAUAAGAAACUAGACUCAAUAAGCUUUAAUUUCAUAUUUUAUUCAUCCUCUAAUUCCAUUUAUACAAUUUUUGGUUAUUUUUUCAAAGUUAGACUACUGCUGCUGUCCAAAACAGUUUUAGUGCAAAAUGUUGAUUUCUAUUUUGCCCCAAAUUUCACAAUUCAUACAAUUCAGUCCUUGCUCAAUUAACCCCUCAAUUAAGAUAAUUUUCUCAAUUAAUAAUUUUCAUAAACAUUAUAAGUUAUUUCAUAACUAUUGAAAUUCAGAAUUUCCACAUAAAACUCUAACUUCAAACUCUUUUACAAUUAGGUCCCAAACAUUCACUUUCUAUUCAAUUCUUACAAUAAAAUCAACAUAUAAACAAUUUAAAACUCUAAUUCCAUGCCAAAUCAUCAUAUACUUCCAUCACAUACGUAUAGAAACUUUCAAUUUCUUCCAUAGAAUAAAAAACUAAUGAAUUCAACAAGUGGACGUAGUUGUAAAAGUCACAAAAACACAAAAAUUUCAAGAAUUAAUCAAGAAUUGAACUUAGUUGGAGUAAAAAUAUGAAAAACCAGCUUAAUAGAACUCCUCCAUGGCGUUUUUCUGAUGAGAAUGCAGAAAAAUAAAGAGAAAUCUAGAUAAUUCCACUUUAGUCCUAGCUUUAUUAAGUAAAUUUUGCAAUUUCCUAAUUUUGCCCUUAAUUCUCCUUAUUUUCUUGCUGAUUUCGUGCCCUUUCCGUCCAGCCCAAAUAGACCUUGGGUCUAUUUUCCUUUUAAACCCUCUUUCUUUUAUCAAUUAAGCUAUUUAAUCAUUUCCCAUAAUUUUGCAUUUGAUAUAAUUUAGUCCUUUUUGUUCAAUUAACUAUUAGAAUUUUAAAAUUUCUUGACGAAACUUUAAUACUAACAUAUUAACACUCCAUAAAUAUUUAUAAAAAUAUUUAUGGCUCGAUUGAAAAUUCCCGAGGUCUCGAUACCUCGUUUUCGAUUCUAAUUAUUUUAAUAUUUAUUUUUAGUACACUAUUCACUAUAUCAAAAUUUUUCCUAACUUCACAUUUAAUUUAUACGCACUAAAUUAAUAAUAUUUCUUACUCAUUUUCCGGAUUUAGUGAUCUCGAAUCACUGUUCUGACACCACUGAAAAUUAGCCUGUUACAACUCUCCCCUCAUUUAGGGAUUUUCGUCCCCAAAAAUCUUAUCAGAAGAAAUUGCUUUCAACACUAAUGAAACACUUUUACUAACUUCUCAGUUUCACAAAGAAAACCCCCACUUUAGCAUUUAACUUGGUUGAAAUCAAAUCAUCAUCAAAUAAAGCCAAUCAUGUAGUCAACAUUCACAAAAUAAUCAAGAUUUUCCAAUACGUAUAUAAUGUAGAGUAACAACCCGUAUAAACAGAAUAAUAGCUUUAUAUGAAUCUCACCAUUUACUUUUAUCUUCAACGUAACAGAAUAGUAUAACAAAGAAAAAUUUAGAAGUCCCAAUCAUAAUUUAAUCAGACCAACGAUGAUCUCAUCAAAUAUUUUAGCUAGCUAGCAUUCUCAUACAAUAAGAAUUUCAUCAGAAAACGAACAGCCACAUAUUCCUCUGACUAAUUCUGUCAUCCCUAAUCCCAUAAUAUUUCAUUCAUUAACAAAAAUCAAUUCAAAAGAAUUUUCCGAUAAGUACACUCUUUAGACAUCAUAUCUGAAUAAGUCAAUUUAUUGAAAUUAGCUUCUUCUCUAAUCAUGACAUUGCAUAUCUCGAAUGAUCUUUAAAACGUUCUAAUACCUUUUUCCAGAACUAUAUUUACUUUUCAAACUAUUCUCGUUUCUGUAUGCCUUACUAAUCACUUCAACACUAUACUCUCCAAUUCUACAGGUGUGAAUUUAUUAACAUAAUUCUCAUGAAAUUUUGUCAUAAUUACAACUCUGGUAAGGGGGUGAGGUCGUAAAGCCUUUAACUCAACUCUCAUAACUACACACAUAUGACUUGACAUUCAUACAUAACAUUAUUGUUUUCACAUAAUUCACUUCAAGCAAGAUUAAUACACUUAUAUAGUCUAUCAAUAUUUUCUGCCAUAUACAAUUUCAAACGAUGAAUUCACUUAGUUUAGCUCAAUAUCAACAAUUAAUCAAUUGCAAUCUCUUAAGUCCAUUUAUCACUUACCUUUCUUAAUCAAUUUAGGGAACAAUUUCAGAAUUGAGUACUUCGUUUUCACCAUGCCAUAGUAAAACUAUGGUCUUGCACAUAGUCACAUAUCACACACCGAAGCCAUAGCCCAGCCAUGGUCUUACACGGAUCACAUAUCACACUGAUGCCAUAUCCCAGAUAUGGUCUUAUACAGAAGCACAUAAUCACAUAUCUAUGAUGCCAUAGCCCAGCUAUGGUCUUAUACGGAAAUCACUUGUCACUUGUCACUUGUAGCCGAAGCUACCACUAUUCACUGAUCAGGUAGCCAGAGCUACCAUUUUUCACUGAUCAGGUAGCCGGAGCUACCACUUUUCACUGAUCAGGUAGCCGGAACUACCACUUUUCACUGAUCAGGUAGCAGAAGCUACCAUUUUUCACUGAUCAGGUAGCUGAAGCUACCCCUUUUCACUUGUCAUUUGUUAUUGAUCAGAUAAGUGUAGCCGAAGCUAUCACUUAUCACUUUCACUUUUCCUUGAUCAGAUAAGUGUAGCCGAAGCUAUCACUUAUCACUUGUUGCCAUGGUCGAACCAUGGUCUUUUCCUUCAAUUCAUCUUGUCACUGAACUGAAAUGCUCAAUUUGAUCAUUUAUUCAAUUUUCAUGCUUUUACAUUAUUCACGAUUUUAUCAUCAAUACAUAUGAAAUAACACAUCAUGAAAUUCAUAACAAAUAAUCACUAAAAUUUAGCCAUAUGAACUUACUAAUCAUACUUAUUCAACCAAGUGUACAUAAACACACACUUAUUCAAUUUUGAAUAAAAUUUACUUAAUCAAACAUGUUGAGCACAUAACAUCAUAGACAUGCCAAACAGACACGGAUAGCCUUAUCAUAAUAUAAACUUUCAUUUCAUUUCACCUUUUUAUAUUUCAACUUAUGGUUAUCUCAUUUCGUACAUUAUCACAUACAUAUCAUGAACUUCUAUUCAUACCUUCUCAAGUUUCAACUUAACACAAACACAUUUUCAAUGUCUCAACACCAAAUUUUCGCACUGUCAAGAUUAGCUCGGUUGGAAAGCACCUUGGUCUUAACAAAACAAUUUCGUUAGAGCCGGAAGAUAUCACAAUAUCACGAGUAAUAAUAUAGCAUGUAGAGCUAAACUCACAUACACUAGGUUAAUCCGAGAACCGAUUAAACCAUAGCUCUGAUACCACUAAAUGUAACACCCCUAACCCGUUUCUGUCGUCGAAAUAAAGUACGAGGCAUUAUCGAGGAGUACAAAAACACUUACAGAUAAUUUAAAUAUAUUUUCAUAACAACUUGUCUCGAUUUCAUACUAUUUCAUAUUUAAGCUUUACUCACCAAAGUAUUUGAAAUAUCAUCUUUAUGCAAAUAUCACACAUGAGGUACAUAAUUCCAUAAUUAAGAAUGAACACAUUUAUCAAACAUAUUCCACAUUCAUAUAUCAAUGUCUCACAUUUCCAUAUAUCAAUAACCGCCAUUUUUCUUGUUUUUCAGAUAAUUAUGUGUAACCAUUGAUAAGCAUGCAAUUCACUGUUUCUUCCUGUCAAUCACAAUUUCAAAUGACAAAUUCGUGUGAAUGAGCUCAACCUCAUUAGGUUUUUAAAUUCUGUCACUUUGAUUCACAUACUCAUAAUUUACUAACAUAUCCUAUCAAACACAAUCUCUGAAUGACAAAAUCACAUAAUUGAUCUCAAUAAUAAUAAUGAUAACAUUACUUACAUUUCUUUUUCCACAUGUUACAUUUACGACUUACCAACUUGUCCAUUCUAGGAACAGCUUACGGAUUUGAGUACAUCGUGAUCUGAAGCCCGAAGUCUAACUGAAGCACAUAAGUGCUAAACGGAAGCCCAAAGGCUAACUGAAGCUCACCAGAGCUGAACUGAAACCCGAAAGGGUUAACUGAAACUCAUAUGAGUUAACGGAAGCUUGUAAGAGCUAAACAGAAAGCAAACACGAGAAUUCGCAAUAAAUGCUGAAUCUCGGUUUACUUGGGUAAUUUACCGUCAAUUCAUCUUUUUCACUGAAAGAUUGUACUUAUUUCUUACGUUCCGUUCCUCCGAAAUUCUCAGUUCAAUUUCAUAACUUUUGUACAUAAUUUACUUAUUUUCAACAAUUAAUAUACAUAAAUAUUAAUCACCAUUCAUAAAAUAAUAUUGAAAUUUAAUAAUAUUAACAAAUGGUCACUAAAUUUAGUUAUAUAAACUCAUAAGUUCGAUUUUUGUAUUAUAGCGAUAAUCAUAAUUUCAUAAUAAAUAUUCCAAAUAAAACAUUAUAUCAUUUCUAAUUCAACGCUUAUCGAUUAUAAUCGGGCAUGUGAUCAAUUUAUACACGAGUCAUUCAUAUAUUUUUGUAUAUUUUCCUCCUCCUCCUCUCCAUCCACAUCCUUAGUAUAAACAACACACUUGUAGGUAACAUUAUCCAUAAUUUUCACUAUCUACUUAUGUGAAUAUUCAAGCUGUCUAUCUAUGUCAUAGUCACUAAAUUAUUUUUAUCUUGAGCUAAAGAACUCAAAAUUAAGAUCCAUAAAUUUUACCAGAAACUAGACUCAUAGGUCUUCUUACCAUAAAAAUUUCAUAAUUUUUACUUGGGCCAAUUAAUACAGUUUAUUCAUUAAAGUCUCCCCUGUUCUGUUGUCUGACAGUUCCAACCCUUCUUCACUAAAAAUUAAUUAUCUCCUUGUACAGGAUUUGAAUUAUGUUCCCGUUUAUUUAUAUUCAAAAUAGACUCAUUCAGGAUUCUAAACAUAUAAAUUUAAGCCCCUAAUUAUAUUUAUCCAAUUUUUGAUGAUUUUACAAAGUCAGACCAGGGGAACCCGAAAUCAUUCUGACCUUGGCUCACAAAAUUUAUUAUAUCUCAUUAUUUAUAAUUCCAUUGCUUACAUUAUUUCUUCUAUAAGAAACUAGACUCAAUAAGCUUCAAUUUCAUAUUUUAUUCAUCCUCUAAUUCCAUUUAUACAAUUUUUGAUGAUUUUAUCAAAGUUAGACUACUGCUGCUGUCCAAAACAGUUUUAGUGCAAAAUGUUGAUUUCCAUUUUGCCCCAAAUUUCACAGUUCAUACAAUUCAGUCCUUGCUCAAUUAACCCCUCAAUUAAGAUAAUUUUCUCAAUUAAUACUUUUCAUAAACAUUAUAGGUUAUUUCAUAACUAUUGAAAUUCAUAAUUUCCACAUAAAACUCUAACUUCAAACUCUUUUACAAUUAGGUCCCAAACAUUCACUUUCUAUUCAAUUCUUACAAUAAAAUCAACAUAUAAACAAUUUAAAACUCUAAUUCCAUGCAAAAUCAUCAUAUACUUCCAGCACAUAUGUAUAGAAACUUUCAAUUUCUUUCAUAGAAUCAAAAACUAAUGAAUUCAACAAGUGGACCUAGUUGUAAAAGUCACAAAAACACAAAAAUUUCAAGAAUUAAUCAAGAAUUAAACUUAAUUGGAGUAAAAAUAUGAAACACCAGCUUAAUAGAACUCCUCCAUGGCGUUUUUCUGAUGAGAAUGCAGAAAAAUAAAGAGAAAUCUAUAUAAUUCCACUUUAGUCCUAGCUUUAUUAAGUAAAUUUUGCAAUUUUCCAAUUUUUCCCUUAAUUCUCCCUAUUUUCUUGCUAAUUUCAUGCCCUUUCCAUCCAGCCCAAAUAGACCUUGGGUCUUUUUUCCUUUUAAACCCUCUUUCUUUUAUCAAUUAAGCUAUUUAAUCAUUUCUCACAAUUUUACAUUUGAUACAAUUUAGUCCUUUUUGUUCAAUUAACUAUCAGAACUUUAAAAUUUCUUGACGAAACUUUAAUACUAACAUAUUAACACUCCAUAAAUAUUUAUAAAAAUAUUUAUGGCUCGAUUUAAAAUUCCCAAGGUCUCGAUACCUCGUUUUCGAUUCUAAUUAUUUUAAUAUUUAUUUUUAGUACACUAUUCACUAUAUCAAAAUUUUUCCUAACUUCACAUUUAAUUUAUACUCACUAAAUUAAUAAUAUUUCCUACUCAUUUGUCGGAUUUAGUUGUGACAUCCCUAAUUUGACCCUAGUCGAGAUGUGGUUUUGGGACCACAAAAUCGAGUUAUAAAAUUUAUUAAAUAUUAAAAUUCAUAUCUACUAUGUGUGAUAGUGCAUGUGUGAAAUUUUGAUGCUUGAAUUAUUUCAAACCUAGUCGGAUUUUUUUUUAAACCUAGCAGACUAUGGCUAAGUGCCUUGAAUUAUUUCAAACCGAAGACCAUUUGUAUAUCUUUAAGAUAAGGAUUUAAUUAGUUUCAUAAAAAUUUACUAAUUUGAGUUGUAUUCGGCAGGAUGUGCAAAUACAAGGUAUGGAUUGCGUUUGGUCAUUUAUGUAUAUGUGAUAAGGAAUAUGUUUGGUCCUUUAUAUACGUAUACGAAACUUUAAUACUUGUCAUGAUUUGAUUAUUUGAAAUAUUAAUGUAAAUAUGAACUAAAGAACUAAGCUCCUAAAUACAUAUAUACAUUUAUGUAUGUGCAUGAAAUGAGUGCAUAUGAUUAAGUGGUUAGAGGUAUUGAAAGAUUGAAUUGGUAAUUGGUAACUAUGGAAACGGUAAGUGUAAAAAGGUUAAGUAUAUGGUAAGUGAUACUUACUUGCUAUGUGAACUCGAUUUCGUUUGUAUUACAAAUGUACUUGGGGAAUCACUUAUGAGAUGGUUAUAAGUUAUAUUCAACGAGUAUUGACUCUAUCAAAUUGUUUAUGUAAGAUGAAAACAUGAAUAUGUGCUUCCAAAUAUGGAAACCGAAUGUGAUUAUAGUGUUAUGUUUUAGUUUGACUGAUUAAACUAAAAGUAGCAUUGAUGUUUUUAAAUGCGAAGGGGUAUAUACUCUUAAAUUGGGAUGAAAUAGAUGAAUUACAUGUGUAUACAUAGGGUUUAAUCUAUUUGACCGAAUGGUGAUAUAUCUUGACAUUUCAAAACGUGAUUUGUGUAAGGCCUAAUCUUAAGCGACUUAGUAAUAAAUCAACAAUUACGGAUGUUCAGCACAUUAAGUUGGCCAGGUAUGUAUUAUGUACUUGUGUAGGCUUAUUAAGCCCACCGAGACUUCACUUGGAUUUUGUGUAAGUUAUAAAUGUAUUUAAUCCAGCAAAGUUAAUUGUUUUACUUAAGACUUACUAAGCCUUGAAAGCUUACUCUGUUGUUACGUUUCUCUGUUUUAUAGAUUACCAAAUUUGGCCUUUGCUCGGGGAUCGUCAACAACUCGUCACACUAUCACUAUCCACUGUUUGGUACUGCUAUGUUUUGGAUUAUUUUAUGGCAUGUAUAGAAUAGACUAGUAGCGGAAUAAUAUUCUGGUUAAUGUAUAUAAGCCAUGCGAAAAUGGCAUCUUUUGAAUAUGUACUUAUAGAAGUUUAAUUUUAUCAUUGGCUGUAUUUAGCAUUUAUCUAAAUGAAUGAUCUUUAUUUCAAGCAAAAGUUUAAAAUUUUACUGUUCUGACAUGAGUUACAAGUCUGGUAAUACCCCUUUCCUAUUCCGACAACAGUUACGGGAUAGGGGUGUUACAUUUUAUUUGGUAUCAGAGUUACGGUUUAGUCGAUUCUAGAACUAACGUAGCACGUGUGAGUCUAGUUAUACAUGUCAUAUAAUGAUAAAAUGAUAGUGUGAUGAUUUCUGACAGAUAAAAUGUAUUUUUCGUAUUGUAAUGAAUCUCUAUCCCUAUCGAGCUGUAACAAGCAUGAUGGCUGGUAAUGUGUUUCAGACUCAAAGUUCAACAGGCUUGUGCCAGUGACGAGUUCAGGUUAUACCUAGUGGGCUGAAUGUUGGAAAACUAUUAAAAAGACUAGAACUAUGAAGCUUAUGCUAUACGGAAUCCGAAUUCGUUCACUAAAUUAAGUUUGUUCAGGUAUGUGAGUGUUAUUUACGAAAUACGUAUGGGAAAAUGGUGGUAUAUCUAUGUGUUCAGUUUCCAUAGAAAUUUAUAUUCAUAGAAGUGUAUGUGGCACCCAUGUGAUUCGAUCAUUGAAAUUAUAGAAAUUAAGUUGGAUAGUGAAACAAAAAUGUGAUCUUUGUAUGUGGCUAUUGAACCGAAAUUUGAAUGGUUGAUAAGCAUGUAGUGCUUGUAUUCGAGUAAUGUAAAUGAUAUACUAAUGUGUUAUGUUAUAUAUAUGUAUGUGCAUUAGAAUUGAGAGUUACAUCCGGGCUAAGUCCCGAAUAGCAUUCGUGCUGGUGUUACAUCCGGGCUAAGUCCCGAAGAGCAUUCGUACUGGUGUUAUAUCCGGGCUAAGUCCCGAAGAGCAUUCGUGCUGGUGUUACAUCCGGGCUAAGUCCCGAAGAGCAUUCGUGCUGGUGUUAUAUUCGGGCUAAGUCCCGAAGAGCAUUCGUGCUGGUGUUACAUCCGGGCUAAGUCCCGAAGAGCAUUCGUGCUGGUGUUAUAUCCGGGCUAAGUCCCGAAGAGCAUUCGUGCUCGUGUUAUAUCCGGGCUAAGUCUCGAAGAGCAUUCGUGCUGGUGUUACAUCCGGGCUAAGUCCUGAAGGGCAUUCGUGCCGGUGAUGUGUAAUCAGGCCUUCAUGCCUAGCAGGCUUUGUGCUGGUGAUGUGUAUUCGGGCCUUCGUUCCUAACAGGCUUAAUGCCGGUGAUUCGAGCAAAGUUUAAGUGUUCAUUACUAUAUGAAUUCAAAGUUAAAUGAAAGGACACGUUUAAAGUGUACUUAUAUGAUGUUUUAUAGACUUGGUUAAGUUAUUUCAAUGUGAAAUAACGAAUGAAUAUAGGCACUAUGUGUGCGAAUGAAUUGAGGCACUGUGUGUGCGAAUUCUUUAACCGAGCACUAUGUGUGUGAGAUCGGUCAGUGGGCACUGUGUGUGCGAAUUCUUUAACCGAGCACUAUGUGUGUGAGAUCGGUCAGUAGACACUGUGUGUGCGGAUUUCGUUUCAUGUAAGAUCUCGUCUAGGACGACGGCAUUGAUUUGUGAUAGUGUGUAAGACCGUGCUUAGUACACUGGCAUCACUUGUGUUAAGCUUUAUGCCUAUUCGACUGUAUACGGGUAACUUUAAAUAUGAUUGGAUGUAUUGAAUGAACUAAAUGUUCAGGUACGUGGGAAAUAAGUUAAGUUGAAUAUUUAGAUAUGAUAAUGUUAUAAAGGAUAUUCAUUAGGAUGUUUAAGAACAUGUAUACUUUCGGCCAUGUUACGGCUUAUAUAUAUAUGAAUGAAAAUGUGGGUUAUGAAUAUCUGAGUUGAUGUUAUGUAUUUGUUUUAAAACAAGAGGACGUUAUCCUAACGUAGUCGCUAGUAAGAUUUUCAGGGACGAAAAUCCCUAAAGAGGGGGAGAGUUGUGACAUCCCUAAUUUGACCCUAGUCGAGAUGUGGUUUUGGGACCACAAAAUUGAGUUAUAAAAUUUAUUAAAUAUUAAAAUUCAUAUCUACUAUGUGUGAUAGUGCAUGUGUGAAAUUUUGAUGCUUAAAUUAUGUUAGUUGAAUGUGAAUUUUAGUCAAAGGGCUUAUGUGAGAAACAAAAAAAAAAGUGAUGAAUUAAUUUGAAGACUUAUUAGUACAUGAUUCUCAAAAUGGGGACUUGCAUGUCAAAUACCCCAUUUUGAGAAGUAGUGGCCGGCCAUAAUGAUUAGGGUGCAUAGAAAAUGAAUUUAUGUAAGUAUAUUAAUAGUAUAUGGCCUUAAUUUAUAAAGAAAAGAUAAAUAAAAUAUUUUGGGGUGAAAAAAAAAAACAAAGUUUGGUUCAUUCUUCUUCUUCAUUGCCGUGGUAAAGAAAGAAUAAGGGAGUGAAGCUCAAAUAAUGGGCCAUAUGCAUAGAUCUAAUUCUAAAGGUAUGUAAUGUGAUUUUUGUCAAAUUGAUUAUGAAAUUUGGUUGUUAAUGACAUGUGGUAGAUAACCCAUGAUUUUAAUUCUAGAUUAAGUGAUCAUAGGGCAUUCGACCAUUUAAGAGAAAUGUGGAAAUUUUGUUUUAAAGCUCGUAAUUCAUGUUUAAUUUCUGAAUGGAGUUUUGAAUUGGUAGAAUUGAGUUUUAAUUUUAAGAAAUAAGUGAUGUUUGUAAGGAUUUUCAAAGUUCAUGUAAAGCUUAUUAAGGAAUGGUAAAUUGGUUGUAAUAUUAUAUAUAUUUUGAUAGUAUAUUAGAUGGUUUGAGAUUUGAGCUAGUUACAUGUGCUAUUAUGAAGAUUUAUGGAUGUUUUAGAAUUGACCUAAGUGUUUUAGUCAUUAAUAUAUAUAUUGCCGAAUGUAUGCUUAAGGAAUUGGUUAAGUACAUUGUUGUUAAAUGCUUGUUGUUUUUGUAUAAUUGUUGCCUAGCUACUAAAUGAACUUAGGGUAUUAUGGAUAAGUUUAAGAGUGGCAUAAUUGAAAUGAAGUUUGCUUGUGCCGAAUGUGAUUUUAGUGCAUGAAUUAGGAGUUUAAUUUCAUUCGGUAACUCAUACCAAAUUGGGAGAUAGUAUUAAACAUUAGUAUUAUUGUUAAAUAAUUGAAGUGAGCUUUGAAUGGUUGUUUUGCUUAUAAUGGCCGAAUGUGAACUUAAGUUUUGAAUUACAAUUGAAGCUUGUUAGUUAGUUGAUGAUGUCCUUUGAUAGCCCUUUUGAUAUUCAGCCAUUGUUAAGGAAUUUUGAAUUGGUUAUAAAUUUCUAUGUUUUAAUUAGCAAAUUGAAUUAUUGAAGGUUGAGCUAAUUAUAUAUGUAUACGUUUUAUAUGUACAUUAAUUUCUUAGUCUAUGUUAUUCGGCUAUAAUUGUCAUGGUAGAAUUUUUUUAAUUUGUAAAUUUGUUAAUCAUUAGCUCAAGAGCAUCAAGGACAAAAGUCGGAAAAAGGGAAGGCAAAACUAAGCGAAUAGCCGUAGAAUUAUAGUCGUCGACAACUCUUAAGGUAAGUUUCUAGCAUAUAAGUUUAGUUAUAAUGAAGAAUGAUAUGGAAUACGGGUAAAGAUGGGACUAUGAAUUGGUGUAAUUACCUAUAAUAAAAUGAUAAGGAAUAAGUUACUUCUAUGAGCCUUAGCCGAUUGGUUAUUAGAAAAGUGAUAUUUAAAUUAUGGUUUGUAUGUGAUAAUAAGAAGUACUUAUAUAUGAUGAUAUGUUUUAAACUCAAAUGGUAAGUUCUUAAGUGUUUGGACUUGGAAAUUUAAUAGCAAAUUGUAAUAAUCUGCUUAGGACAGCAGCAGUAGCGUGAUUUUUGAAAAUCGCCAUAAAUUGUUGGAGUGGAAUUAAAGACUGAAUAAAAUAUGUAAUCAAAGCUCAAUGGGUUUAGUUUCUUAUAUAAACAGUGCAAGCAAAGGAAUUUCCUAUAGAGAGAUAUUUAAAGUUGUGUGUGACAGUGUCAGAAUGAAUAUGAAAUCCCCUGUUCUGUUUUUAGAAAAUCAUUAUAAAUAGUACAAAAAUUUUUAUAAGAUAAAAUUUAUAGUCUUAGAAUCCUUAAUGAGUCUAGUUUCAAAUGAAAUAAACAAGAACAUAUUUUAAAAUCUUUACAAUGAGAAAUUUGAUUCGUAGUGAAGAGUGGUCAGUAUAGUCAAACAGUGAAAUAGGGGAAACUUUAAGAAAAUUCUGGUUUUGAUUGGACAAACCAAAAAUCCUGAAAAUUUUAUGGAUAGAAGAUAUAUGAGUCUAUUUUUGGGGAAAAUUUAUGGCACUUCAUUUGGAGUUUCGUAGCUCCAGUUACAAAUAAUUUAAUGAUUGUUGCUCAAGAAAACAGCUUGUAGUGAAUCUGUGAUUUUGUUGUAAACAUUGAUGAAACUAAUUGAGUUGCUUAUAAGCUAUUGCUGAAUUGAUGUACAAGAUAAAUAUAUAGGUGGUGAGGCCAAAAUGGCUAAAAUAUAAAUGUGUGCAAGUUAUCCGAAUGGCUAUUUUAUAAACAUAAGCAAUGUAUAUGUAAUAUGUGUUGAUAGUUUUAUAAAUUGAAGGUGUAGUGACUUAUAUGUUGUUUAGCCGAAUGGUUGUCAUGAGAAGAAUGUAAGUCAUGUGUGUAUUUUCUUAUUUAGUUGGAAGUUUAUUGAAAGGGAUAUAUAUAUAAAUAUGUAUUAAAGUCGAAUGAUAUUAUGACAUGAAGUUAAGGCACAUGCUAUAUGCUUAUAUUCGAAUGAGGUUAAUGAAUUACAAUGGUGAUAGUUUGUGUGAAAUGUGGUAACCUGUGAUUAGGUAUACAUGGAAUUUAGAAAGUAUCCGGGUUAAGACUCGCUGACUACGUGAUGUCGCCUAAUGGCUCUUGUGAAAUGAGACUAGCUAUAUUGAGAUACGAAUAAGUUCGAAUGAAGUGAUACCUUAUUAAUGUGUUUCCGUGUUGGAAAGAUCGAAGGUAUGUGAAUUGAUGUGUAUAAAACUUUGUGAGUUAACUAUGAUGAUAUAUCCGGGCUUAAAGUCCCGCAGGCUUGGUACUGGUAACUGGAUUCGGAUUUUUUUUUUAAACCUAGCAGACUAUGGCUAAGUGCCUUGAAUUAUUUCAAACCGAAGACCAUUUGUAUAUCUUUAAGAUAAGGAUUUAAUUAGUUUCAUAAAAAUUUACUAAUUUGAGUUGUAUUCGGCAGGAUGUGCAAAUACAAGGUAUGGAUUGCGUUUGGUCAUUUAUGUAUAUGUGAUAAGGAAUAUGUUUGGUCCUUUAUAUACGUAUACGAAACUUUAAUACUUGUCAUGAUUUGAUUAUUUGAAAUAUUAAUGUAAAUAUGAACUAAAGAACUAAGCUCCUAAAUACAUAUAUACAUUUAUGUAUGUGCACGAAAUGAGUGCAUAUGAUUAAGUGGUUAGAGGUAUUGAAAGAUUGAAUUGGUAAUUGGUAACUAUGGAAACGGUAAGUGUACAAAGGUUAAGUAUAUGGUAAGUGAUACUUACUUGCUAUGUGAACUCGAUUUCGUUUGUAUUACAAAUGUACUUGGGGAAUCACUUAUGAGAUGGUUAUAAGUUAUAUUCAACGAGUAUUGACUUUAUCAAAUUGUUUAUGUAAGAUGAAAACAUGAAUAUGUGCUUCCAAAUAUGGAAACCGAAUGUGAUUAUAGUGUUAUGUUUUAGUUUGACUGAUUAAACUAAAAGUAGCAUUGAUGUUUUUAAAUGCGAAGGGGUAUAUACUCUUAAAUUGGGAUGAAAUAGAUGAAUUACAUGUGCAUACAUAGGGUUUAAUCUAUUUGACCGAAUGGUGAUAUAUCUUGACAUUUCAAAACGUGAUUUGUGUAAGACCUAAUCUUAAGCGACUUAGUAAUAAAUCAACAAUUACGGAUGUUCAGCACAUUAAGUUGGCCAGGUAUGUAUUAUGUACUUGUGUAGGCUUAUUAAGCCCACCGAGACUUCACUUGGAUUUUGUGUAAGUUAUAAAUGUAUUUAAUCCAGCAAAGUUAAUUGUUUUACUUAAGACUUACUAAGCCUUGAAAGCUUACUCUGUUGUUACGUUUCUCUGUUUUAUAGAUUACCAAAUUUGGCCUUUGCUCAGGGAUCGUCAACAACUCGUCACACUAUCACUAUCCACUGUUUGGUACUGCUAUGUUUUGGAUUAUUUUAUGGCAUGUAUAGAAUAGACUAGUAGCGGAAUAAUAUUCUGGUUAAUGUAUAUAAGCCAUGCGAAAAUGACAUCUUUUGAAUGUGUACUUAUAGAAGUUUAAUUUUAUCCUUGGCUGUAUUUAGCAUUUAUCUAAAUGAAUGAUCUUUAUUUCAAGAAAAAGUUUAAAAUUUUACUGUUCUGACAUGAGUUACAAGUCUGGUAAUACCCCUUUCCUAUUCUGACAACGGUUACGGGAUAGGGGUGUUACAUUAGUGAUCUCGAAUCACUGUUCCGACACCACUGAAAAUUAGAUUGUUACACUACCAACCCUAGAAAACUUCUUAUUUAUGUGACAUUCUUCGAAGGCUUCCAAUUAAUGAUAGCUGAGAUUUUACUCGGAUUAACUCGAAUACCUUCAGUUGAUACCACGUAAUCUAGAAAUCUCACUUCUCAUAACCAGAAUUCACAUUUGCUAAACUUAACAUACAAUUACUUUUCUCGCAAAGUUUAUAACACAACCCUUAGAUGUUGAUCAUGAUCUUUUUCAUUUUUGAAUAAAUCAAGAUAUCAUAAAUAAGCACGACGACAAACUGGUCUAGAUACAACUGAAAGAGAUUUUGUUCAUCAAAUCCAUAAAAGUGAUAGGGUCAUUAGUAAGCCCAAAUGGCAUUACCAAAAAUUCAUAGUCUACAAUGCGUUCGAAAAGUAAUUUUUGGAACAUCUGACUUUUUGACUCUGAGCUAAUAGUAUCCCGAUCGAAGAUCAAUCUUAAGAAACAAGGUUGCUUCUUUCAGUUGAUCAAACAAAUCGUUAAUUCGGGAAAGCAUAUACUUGUUCUUUAUGGUUACAUUAUUCAACUAUUGGUAGUCAAUACACAGUCUCAGGGCUCUGUUUUUCUUUUUCACAAAUAAUAUUGGAGCUCUUCAAUGUGACACACUCGGUUAGUUAAAUUCCCAAUCUAAAAGCUCUUACAAUUGAGCUUUCAAUUCUUUCAAUUCAGUCAGAGUCAUUAUGUAUGAUGCGAUAAAAAAACUAUUUUUUCGUAUUUUUUCCAGUUUAUUUUAACUCACACAAUUUUUUUUUUAAAUUUACCGGUGUCUCCUGACACAUUAGCGACACCCAUUAAAAACAUAGUUUUUUCUUUUCUUUUUUUUUUUUUGCAUCUUGAAUACCUUAUUUUUCACAGGUAUUUCAAAAUAUAUAUACCAGUGCCACCUAAUAGAGUAGCUGAACGAAAAAAAUAUUUUUUUUAAAUCUAAUGAUUGGUGCUGCCAAUGUGUUAGGCAACAUUGACAAUAACCGUAACAAAUGGGUUAUUUUCGUAUAUAAUUUUUUCUAAAUAUUGAUGGGUAUUGUAGUCGAGUAAAAAAUAUUGAUUUAGAUAUUUAUUUCACGUAGGUCUAAUUAUUUUAUUCAUUGAAGGAGCCUCAACUUGUAUGAUUAUUGAGGUCUCACCCAAUAAAAUACCAUACUCGCAUUCUUUUAGGUAAUAUUUGGUGUUUUUUUAAUAUUAUGAUUCUAAUGAAAUUUGGUUUCUUGAAAUGUCAUUAUUAGGAAUGUGAUUGUCGGAAAAGUCAAUUUGCAACAUUAGUAUAUAUUGGAAGUAUUGAUUAAAAUCACAAGAAAGUUAUAUUGUUAUGUUUGGUUCACUAAGUAACUUCUUAUGAAUGUAAUGAUAAUUUAUGAAUUUACCCUUAUUAAAUAGAAGUUAAUAUUUAUCUCUUUAAUUUUUAUAACAAACUUUAUUCUUUAUAUAUUUGGAUUAAAUAUUUAAUAAUAAAAUUUAAUUGAUAAUUUCUAAAUUAUUUUUAAUUUAUAAUUUUAAUUGAAAGAAAAAUUGUUUCAAAUUUGUCUUGCAUAUUUUUUCUAAAUAUAAUAAUACAUAUAUAAAAUCAUGGAUAUAUAAAACUUAUUUUGAAAUAAAUUUUAAAACUACUUGAAAUCACAUUUGUUUUAACUAAAGGCUAACUCAUAGGAAUAUAUAUAUAUAAAAGAGUUGAUUCUAGGUAUCGUUCUAAGCAAAACUAAAAAUAAUUAAAUCAUAAAAAUGUAAAAUCAUAGGCGGUCUAACCCACAAUUUCUACACAACUUAAAUGGAACAAUUCUACUCAUAUUCUAAAAAAAAGUUAACAAGUAUUUCGUACAAGUACUAAAUUAAAUUUGUAACUAGAAAAAAAAAUCAAUGAAUAAAACUUAUUUGCAAAAAAUUUGUUGAAGUAAUAAAGAAAAUCAAGUGAUAAGGAGGAGGAAGGCGACAAUAGCUUUUCCUUUUUUCUAAGUAGGCCAAUGUACUAAACUAAUGUAAAAUAGGGUUAAUUUUGUCUUUUUAUUUUAACUUUUCAAUGUACAUAGAAAAAUAACUUUCUCACCUUUUAUCAUAAGAAUCAGAUUGCCAUAUUUAUGAGAAAGUAAUUUUUAAGGGAAUGUUAUAUUCUAAAGAAAGUAAAUAAAACUUAACAUACCAAAUGUUGAAAUCACUUUUCAACUGAUUAAAUUCUCAGAAAAAUGACUACUUUCCAUCAUACCAAACACUAACUUAUUGUCACACAGAAUGCAAAAUUCUUAAAAAACAAAAUUCUCAACUUUCUCCUUUCUAUUUUAACCUAAAUUAUCUUUUCUUGGUGUGAUUCUUUAAUGGCUUCACUGAGGUUUCAACGUUAACACAUAAUUGUCUUAAAUGUAAACAUGGUAAAAUUACACAUUUUUUUUAAAAUUUUGUUAUUAUUAAUUUUUGUUAUGAAAUUCUUUCUAGAUUAUAAAAAAUUAAAAAUUAUAUUUUGUAAUUUUUUUUUUUUAAGAUACACAUCAAACUAUUCAAACCCAACAUAAUUUUUUUUCUGGUAAGCCCGAUAAACAUAUUGAAUGUUACUUAGAGAGGGCCAAUUUAUCGGUGGCAACAAAAAUGACUCGUCGAAAUUGAUGUAAUUUGAAAUUUUAAAAUUUUAAUUGAAUAUGUUUUGAAAGUAGGUAUUUAAUUAAUUUUGUUGGUAGUGGUUACAUACCCUUUAGCCUUAUUUUUAUUUACAUUUAACAUUUCUAAUGAUUUUGUGAUCCGUACACUUACAAAAUAUUAAAUAUAAACCUUUCUAAGAAACUUAUAUUAAUUGAGCAUUAUUUUAGAUUGGAACACCUUCAAUUUUAUAUUUUUUACGAAUAAUAUUCCGAACUUUUAUAAAAUUGCAAGUGAAGUGUUAUUUAUCUGGUUGCACCAAAAGAAUUUUAUAGUAAUAAAUAUACAUAUUUCUUGUUCUGGGAUUUUUUGUUAUAGUAUGAAUUAUGAAACCAUGAAAUAAUUUUAUUUUGAAUUUAACUUAAUUAAUUAUUAAAUAACUUUAAGUGGCGCACAUUGUCAGCAGAUCCCUAGUGUUAUAAUCACUGAUUUUUAUAGAGCUUCCUUCUAUUUUUCACAAUAAUUUGACUCAUUAGCCUUUGCAUAAAGACCAAAAAGAAGCUCCCUCCUUCGCCCUAUUGGCUCAGACUUCUGACAAAGAAAAUAUCUGAGGCAUACUUCAAUUUGGAAAACACUAAAAUCAAUGGAAGAAAGUACAACCUUAAAUUUUACGGCACUCGAAGACCAAGACCAAAAAGAUAUACGUAUAUUUGGGUGCAUUGGGUUUGCAAUGGAGAUGAUGAACUUAAAGCCAUCAUUUGCCAGGAAGCUAAACCAAGGUUUGAGCCCAAUUCACAUUGCAGUUAAAAGAGGGCAUAAAGAGAUGGUGCUUCGUUUCCUAGAGAUUGAUAAAGAUCUUGCUCGUGUCAAAGGGAAGAAGGGUAAGAUUCCCUUGCAGUUCUUAAGUAAAGCUGGAAACCCUGAUGGCUUGGUCGAUAGGUUUCUUGAGGUUUGUCCCGAAAGCAUCAGAAAUGUUACAACUACGAAUCGUACUGCUUUGCAUAUCGCUGCAGAAAGGAAUAGAUUGGAUGUGUCGUAACCAAUUUUUUAAAAAAAACGGGUAUCGACUUGGAGAAAAAACGAAAACGGGAGUCGCCACCAAUCUUUUUAGGUGUGAUUGGAUCACCUUGUAAAAGUGGUUGUUUUUAAUGAAUGGUUUGAUUUAUUUAAACAACGAUUUUGGUCCACGUAAAUCAAGAAAACAGGUUCGAGAGUCGGUUACACACGAGGAAGGAUUAGCACCCUCGUAGUGCCCAAAAAUUGGUACCUAGUUGAUUAAUUAAUAUCUUAGUGUCGAAAAUGGAAAGCUUGAAAGACAUUGAAAUACGAUCCCUCUUCGUAAAAAUGCUAAUUUGAAAAUGACCGAAUAAAUUAAAACAAAUGUUAAAGACUCUCUCAUCUCGAAGUAAUAAAAUGUCACGCUCAGUAAGUUAGGACACAACAUUUUAAACUUUGAGAAUGAGCUUGCCUUUAUUUAAAAUUCAUAUAUUCUAAAAAAAUUUUAAAAGGCUGUUCGGCUAUUUAGGAUAAACAAGAAAAGUCGAAACCCAGUAAGUUAGGUCACGUUUUCUCGAAUUUCCUAAUACCAAAUAUUACCUUUAUUUUUAAACAAAUUCUUAUUUCGAGGUGACAAAAUGUCGUACCCAGUAAGUUAGGGCACAACACCUCGUACUUCCGAAAAUAAGUGUUUUUUUCGUAUUGCGAUUUAAGAGGAUUAUAUCGUUAUUUAGAUAUAAACGAGGAAAACCGAAACCCAGUAAGUUAAGGCGCAAUUUUCUCGAAUUGUCUAAAUACGAAACUUGUUUUAUUUUAGAAAAACGCGAUUAUGUGCGUCGAGUAAAAGACCAAUGUAAUCAUAAUCGCAUGGUGAAAUAAGAAACGAGUUGCAGUAUUAACAUGCAUAAUAAUAACAAAGGUGGUGAUAUAAACAACAAUUAUAAUGACAAAAUAAUAUGGAUUUGCAGAUAUAUUGAGACAUAUAAGAAUAAACGAAUAAACAUAAUGAAAUAAUGAUAAUGAGAACAAAACGAAAUAAAAAUACAACGAUAAAGGAAAUAACAAAGCAAAUUAUAGUAUAAAUUGGAUUUUAAAUCGGGGGUAAGCAAAUAAACAUAUGAGUAAGUGUAACGCCCCAAUUUUCGGGAAUUCUGUGAAUGUUGGCAUAGGUUUAAUUAUGUUAGUGGGCCUCUAGAAGGCCCAAGCUUAAGAUAGAACCCGGAAAUUUUAGUUAAUUUUUGUUCCAUAAGAAAAGGGGGGUGAAAUUAUGAAAUAGGACCUAUGUAAAAAUGUUUGAAAAUGCUAUAGGCUAAAUUGAAGUGGCCAAAUAAAUAGGAGUGCAAAAUAGGAGGAUUUGCAUGACAAACCUCCCAUUUUACAUAAAGUGGCCAGCCAUCAUGUUGUUGUAGACAAUAUGAGCACUUGAUAUCCAUAAUUCAUGAUUCAAAUUGAUAAUGGGUUAGGUAAAUGUUCCAUGAUAAUGGAUUAGAUAAAUAUUCCAUGAUAAUGGGUUAGAUAAAUGUUCCAUGAUAAUGGUUUAGGUAAAUGUUCCAUGAUGGGCAUUUCAUGUCUUUUGUAUUAAAGAAUUAAAUGGAUGAAAUAUGAAAUUUUAUUAAAAGAAAAAGGAGUGAAAAGAACAAAGUUUUGUCCAUCUUUGUUCAUCAUAGCCUAAAGUUAGAGAAGAGAAAGGAGAGGAGAAAGCUCUUGAAUGUUCGGUCACCUGGGGAAGAAAAUUGAAGGUAAGUUCAUGGUACCUUGCUUCUAUUUUGAGGUUCAUGAGUUCUUCUUGAUUCUACCUUAACUCUUGAAGCAUAUUUUGGUUUUUGGUUGUGUUGUGAGCAUUUGGUCAUGAAUUAAAAUGAAAGAAAUGGUUGUUGUUUCAUUUUCUUUUGAUGAAAAAUGGAAGAUAUGUGAAGUUGAGCCAAACAAAUGAGCAUGCAUGUGCCUUAGAUGCAAAAGGGAAAAAUCGGCUAACAUGUUGUACUUUAAAAUGAUGAAAUGGAGAUUAUGCUUAAGUAAAAAUCAUAGAUAUGUGAUGAUUGAUUGGUGAUAUACAUGUUUAAAUAACAUGCAUGCAAGAUAGGUGUAUGAAAGAGUGAUUUGGUAAUAAAUCUGCUUGGGAUAGCAGCAGUAACGUGACUUUGGAAAAUCACCAUAAAUUGUGGGAGAUGAAUUAGAAGCUGAAUAAAUUAUGUAAUUAAAGAUUAAUGAGUCUAGUUUCAAAUGAAAUAAACUAGAACAUAUUUUUAAUUCUGUACAAUGAGAAAUUUGAUUUGUAAUGAAGAGUGGUCAGAUUAGUCAAACAGUGAAACAUGGGAAACUUUAAGAAAAAUCUGGUAUUGAUUGGCCAUACCAAAAAUUAUGAAAAUUUUAUGGAUAGAAGAUAUAUGAGUCUAUUUUCAGGAAAAAUUAACGGAACUUGAUUUGGAGUUUCGUAGCUCCAGUUAUAAAUGAUUUAGUGACUGUUGCUCAGGAAGACAGCUUGCAGUGAAAUUAUGAUUAUGUGGUAAACAUUGACAAAAAUUUGUUAAUGAGUUGCUUAUUGAUUUCUUAUAAGCUUACUAUGAUCUGUAGGUGUGGUUGGCCGAAUAUCGUAAGGGGUUAAUACGUAGUUUGUAUUUGAAUAGUUAGAUUAACGUGUUAGUAAUCUAAUUGUAGGCGGUUCGUGUGUGGAUCUCGUCAGCAUAUCGUCACAAACAGGUGUGUAACUAACACCCUCUUUCUUAGUCUAGAUCGGCUCGAAAUGUCGAAAACCGGUAUUUUGUAGAUUUACGAGUGUGCGAAUGCUCGUAAGGUAAAUCGAUUAAUGUUUUUGGUAAGCUGCAAUGUUUGGACUGCAAAGUGCAUGAUUUCUGUGCCCUUGAUAUUUUUGGGCUUAAUGGACCAAAAUUGGAAUGAUGGGCCAACGGGCCCAAUUCAGUAAGAACCCUCAGUACGUGAUUCUGUUAGUACGUGAAAGGUAGGAAUAUGCAUGAAAAACCCUAAAAUAGAUAAAUUACUGAAAUACCUUUAAAAGUGAAAAAUUUACAGUUUUACCCCUAGGGUUAAAUUGACCUAAAUGCAUGUUUGACUGUUGUUAUUUACUGCAUGCCAUGUUGUUAUUAUCUGAUGCAUGGGACUGGGAUAUUGACGGAGGAAGUACUGAAAGUGGCUUGUCCACGUACUGGAGGCUUUGCCUCAAUUUACUGUUAACUGAGCAACAAGGCUGCAACUGUGGAGUGUUGGGCUGGGUGGGUUGAGCUAUUCCCCACAUGGAGUGUAUGGCUGGUACGGGUGGAGUGUAAUGGUUGGUGGGUUGAGUAGUCUCCCCAAAUGGGCUUGCAUAUGUUUACUGAUAUUGCAUGUAUUUUGAAAUGGGCCUAUGGGCCAUACUGUUAUCAGAAUAAGGGGCUAAGGCCCAGUUUAUUGUAAUCUGAAAAGGGCUUUGGCCCCGUACCACUGUUACCUGAAUGGGCUUAGGCCCAAUGGGCUUGAGCUGACUUGGGCUUUGAAUGGGUUUUUCCUUACACACUGAGUUUCCCUAAACUCACCCCUUUUUAUUUUCAUCCACGCAGGAAAUCCCCAACCAUAGUGGGCUUGGAGCUGUGAGGGAAUUCGGAGUGGCCACCCGUUCUGAAAGUUUGAUUUUCUUCUGGUGAACUGGACAUCCUUUUAAUUACGUUUGAGGUUUUGAGCUUUUAAAUGUAAUAAGGCCGCUUAUUUAUUUUUGAUGGUUUUUAUAUGUUUUAUUAAGAUAGGUAAUAUUUAUAUAUAACUGUUGAAAUUGGAUAGCUUUAGGGUGCGCUUUCAAAAACAACAAUUGAUUUCAAAAUAACACGACAACAAGCAAAGCUUCCGCAAUGAAAGUAUUUUCCAAAAUUAAUCACUUUUCCUAAAAAUGACUUAAUCAAAUCGGUUUCCUAGAAAUAUCCAUGACGUUAAGGUGUGGCAAUGGCGGUAUCCAUGUCUAGGAUUGGAUCCGAAGGGAGCUUGGUACUUAAGCAGCCUUCAUGGCUCACCUUCUCUUUUCCGGUUUCCUACCUGGUGCCCAGUGUAACACCCCUUACCCGAUACCGUUUCCGGAGUCGAGCACGAGGCAUUACUUAGCUUAUCUUACCAAUUCGGAGCAUAAAAACUAGGUUUGAAAUUUUAUUUCAUUAUUCGCAGCAAAUCUGUCCAAUCGCGCAGCAGUUACUAAAUUAAUUAUAACAUGAGCUACAGAACUCGAAAUUUAAUUCCGUAAAUUUUCCCUGAAACUAGACUCAUAUAUAUACUCACCAUAAAAUUUUUAGAAUUUUUGGUUCAUAAAAUUAGUACAGUUUAUUAGUUAAAGUCUCCCCUGUUUCACCACCUGACUGCCCUGACCUCUAGUCACUAAAAAUAAGUUUUCUCACUGUAGGAUUUUCAUAUGAAGUUCUUACUUGUUUCUACAGAAAAUAGACUCAUUAAGAAAUCUAAGCAUGUAAAUUUCAACUCAUAAACAUUUUUGUACAAUUUGUAAUUAUUUUCUAAACUCAGAACAGGGGACUCCAAAAACAGUUCUGACCCUAUCUUACUAAAAUUCACAUAUCUUAAAAUAUAAAUUUCCUUUUUCUACACCGUUAUUUUUCCAUGAAAAUAGACUCAACAAGCUUUAAUUCCAUAUAUCAUUCACCCUCUAAUUCAUUUUAUACUAUCUUGGGUGAUUUUUCAAAUUCACGUCACUGUGCUGCCUGAAUUCUGUUUCUUUGCAAAAUUUUAUCCUUUCAUGAUUUCCAUGCAUAAUUUAUCACCUAAUCUUUCAUAACAACAAACACCUUCAUCCUUAAUCAUUUUAAUAACCAUACAUCAUCAAAUACUUACACAUCACUCAUUAGCAAAAUCAUCAUUACAAACAUACAAAAUAACUAAAUCCCUAUACAUGCCAUAACUCAAACGUGUUUCGAUAUAAAAUACCGAGCAGUUGUAGUUGAUAGUGUGGACGAUCUCCGACUUCUUUAGGAUCCUUGAAGUAGCUUUGCAAUACUAUAAGAGAAAGAGAAAUAAAAGAAGUAAGCAUAAAGCUUAGUAAGUUUACUAGUAAAUAAAUAACAAUAUUUAACUUAAAUAAUUAAACUCAAUGUCUAUAUCUCUAGUUUACUCUUUAGUUAAUCUCAUACUAGUUCUCUUACUUGUUUACUUAGAAUACUUGUGUGCAUAACUUACUCAAUCCUUGCUGCAUCGUUGAACAUCAAUUGAUAGUAUAAUAAGUUCUUAAGUCUUACAACUUACCUGAGCUUGCCAUUUAUGCUUUAAACUGAACUUUCAUGAACAUGAUUCGUUUACAAGCCCGUUGAGCUACAUUGGAAUAAUAAGGAUACUCGGGUCUCUUCUGAUAAUAACAUGCCAAAGCCAUGUCCCAGACAUGGUCUUACAUGGGAUGUUCUCGUGAUGGUGCCCAUGCCAUGUCCCAGACAUGGUCUUAUAGGGGACCUCUCAUCUCGGUGCCAACGCCAUGUCCCAGACAUGGUCUUACAUGGGACCUCUCGUUUCGGUGCCCAUGCCAUGUCCCAGACAUGGUCUUACAAGGGACCUCUCAUGAUCUUAAGGAUGCCAAUGCCAUGUCCCAGACAUGGUCUUACAUGGGAUCUCUUUACCCAAAUGUCAUGACAUUCGUAUCCAGUACCAUCCUUAUGUAUCAACGGGACUUUUAAAUUUUAAUUCUCUAUCAUUUCAUGCUUGAAUCAUCAUCAAAUAAAUUCAUAAAAUAAAUUCAUAAUUGCUGGAAAUUAACAGAAUUAAUAAUAAAUAUUUAAAUAUUGCAUUUAUUUACCGUAAACUUACCUCGGUACCAAUUAUAGCCAAAUUCACCAACUUAGUCUUCAACUUUAUUCUUCCCUUUGUCUAACCUCGAGUUUCGUACUUCUUGAUCUAAAAUAGUAAAUUUAACUUAUUUAAUAAUCACAUUCAUUAAAACAGCCCUCGACUCUAACUUUUUCAAAAUUACAAUUUUGCCCCUAAACUUUUACAUAAUUACAUUUUUGCCCCAAGGCUCGGAAAUUAAACUUCAUCUCUUAUUCUUAUGUUUUAUAACAUUCUGAACAUUUUUCCCUUCUAUGGCAACAUCAAAUUCUCACUCUAACAUGUACUUAUGAACAUUAGGUAUUUUUACCGAUUAUGUCGUUUUACUCGUUUUCACUUAAAAUCGCUUAGCAAAAGUUGUUUAACAUAAUUUCUAGCUUCAUAUUCCAUCAUAAAACAUCAAAAUAAACACUUUUCACCUAUGGGUAUUUUUCCAAAUAUAAACCCUAGGUUAAAUUAUUGCUAAAAUAAGCUAAAUUAAGCUACCCGGAUCUCAAAAACGUAAAGAACAUUAAAAACGGGGCUUGGGAUCACUUACUAUGGAGCUUGGAAGCUUGAAAACCCUAACUAUGGCUUCCCCCCUUGCUGAUUUCGUUCAUAUGAAGAAGAUGAUGAUUUUUGUCAUCUUUUUCCCUUUUAAUUCAUUUUAAUUACUAGAUUACCAAAUUGCCCCUAACUUAAAAAUUUUCUAUUUCACUUAUCUCAUGUCCAUUUUUGUCUACCAAAUUACCAAUGGUAUAAUUACCAUAUAAGGACCUCCAAUUUAAAGUUUCAUAACAAUUGGACACCUCUAACAUGUAGAACUCAACUUUUGCACUUUUUACAAUUUAGUCCUUUUGACUAAAUUGAGUGCCCAAACGUCGAAAUUUUCGAGCGAAAUUUUCAAAAAAUCAUUUUGUGAAAUUGUAGACCAUAAAAAUAUAAGAAAAAUAAAAUUUUUCUCAUCGGAUUUGUGGUUCCGAAACCACUGUUCCGAUAACCUCAAAUUUGGGCCAUUACAACUCUCCCCCCCUUUUUAGGAUUUUCGUCCUCGAAAAUCUUACCAGUAAAGAGAUUCGGGUAUUGCUUCCUCAUUGUCUCUUCCGGUUCCCAUGUUGCUUCCUCAAUCCCGUGCUUUUGCCAUAGCACUUUCACCAGAUUUACCUUUUUGUUUCUAAGCUCCUUUGUUUCUCGUGCUAAUACUUUAACCGGUUCUUCAUUAUAAGUCAUAUCUGGCUGAAUUUCUACUUCUGUUGGAGUAAUAACAUGUGAAGGAUCUGAUCGAUACCGUCGUAGCAUAGAUACAUGAAAUACAUUAUGAAUUUUGUCGAGUUCCGGUGGUAAAGCCAAUCGGUAAGCAACUGGUCCAAUUCUUUCUAUAAUCUCAUAUAGUCCGAUAAAUCUUGGACUCAAUUUACCCUUUCGACCGAACCGGAGAACUUUCUUCCAAGGAGACACUUUUAAGAAUACUUUAUCACCCACCUGAAAUUCAAUCUCCCUUCGUUUAAGAUCGGCGUAUGACUUUUGACGAUCGAAAGCUGCUUUUAAACUAUCCCGAAUCAGUCUUACUUUUUCUUCUGUUUCCCGAAUCAAAUCAACCCCGUGUAUCUUCUUUUCACUGAGCUCUGUCCAAUAUAAUGGUGUUCUACAUUUUCUACCAUACAAAGCUUCAUACGGAGCCAUUUUAAUACUGGACUGAUAACUGUUAUUAUAAGCAAAUUCAAUCAAAGGUAGAUACCUUUCCCAAUUACCUUGAAACUCUAAUGCACAACAUCGGAGCAUAUCUUCCAAUACCUGAAUUACACGCUCAGAUUGGCCAUCUGUCUGAGGAUGAAAUGCAGUACUGAAAUACAACUGAGUACCCAAAGCUUCUUGCAAUUUGUUCCAGAAACGAGACGUAAAUCGGGGAUCUCUGUCUAAUAUAAUGGAGACAGGCACUCCAUGUAGUCUAACAAUCUCAGAUAUAUACAAUCCAACCAAUUUAUCUAAAGAAUAAUCCAUACAUACUGGGAUAAAGUGCGCGGACUUUGUCAAUCGGUCGACAAUUACCCAAAUGGCAUCUUUCUUCCUCGGAGAUAACGGUAACCCAGAUACAAAAUCCAUAGUGAUUCUUUCCCAUUUCCAUUCCGGUAUAGUGAUUGGCUGAAGCAACCCCGAAGGUACCUGAUGUUCAGCCUUAACCUGCUGACAUACUAAACAUCUUGAUACAAACUCAGAGAUAUCACGUUUCAUACUCGGCCACCAAUACAUCUUUUUCAAGUCAUUAUACAUUUUAUUACCUCCCGGAUGUACAGACAUAAUACCACUGUGUGCUUCGUGUAAAAUCUUCUGUACAAGUUCUGAAUUCUUCGGUACACAUACUCUGCCUCUGAAUAAUAAACAACCAUCAGUUCCAAUCUGAAAUUCUGAAUCAUUACCUGACUCACAAUGCACCCGUUUAGCCUGUAAUUUCUCAUCAUUCCUCUGAGCUUCACAUAUUUGUUGACGAAAUGUCGAUUUAGCUCUCAAUUCAGCUAUGAUUGAACCAUCAUUAGACAGUGACAACCGGGUAUUCAUAGCUCGUAAAGCAAAUAGAGAUUUUCGGCUCAAAGCAUCAGCUACCACGUUAGCCUUACCCGGAUGGUAAUCAAUAACCAAAUCAUAAUCCUUUAUCAAUUCAAGCCACCUGCGUUGUCUCAAAUUCAAAUCUUUCUGUGUCAUCAAAUAUUUCAAGCUUUUGUGAUUAGUAUAAAUAUGACACUUUUCACCAUACAAAUAAUGCCGCCAUGUUUUCAAUGCAAAUACAAUAGCAGCUAACUCGAGAUCAUGUACCGGGUAGUUUCUUUCAUGUGGCUUAAGUUGUCUUGAAGCAUAGGCUAUUACUUUAUCUUCUUGCAUCAAGACACAACCCAAACCAUUUAAUGAUGCAUCACUAUAAAUAAUAAAUUCCUUACCCGAUUCAGGCUGUACCAAUACAGGUGCUUUCGUUAACAACUCCUUCAAUCGGUCGAAACUUUGCUGGCAUUUUUCUGUCCAUUCAAAUUUAACAUCUUUCUGUAAUAAACGGGUCAUUGGAGAAGCUAUCAUAGAAAACCCUUGUACAAAUCUCCGAUAAUAACCAGCUAAACCCAAGAAACUUCUAACUUCAGAUACAUUCUUCGGUGGACUCCAAUUGACAAUAGCUGAAAUUUUACUCGGAUCUACCCUGAUGCCUUCUGCGGAUACAAUAUGUCUGAGAAAACUUACCUCUCGAAGCCAAAAUUCACAUUUCCUGAAUUUAGCAUAAAGUUUCUUUUCACGCAGAAUUUGCAACACUCAGUUUCGUCCUGAGAAUAAACUAAAAUGUCAUCAAUAAAAACUACUACAAACCUAUCUAGAUACGGUCUGAGUAUCCGGUUCAUCAAAUCCAUGAAUACUGCAGGUGCACUAGUCAACCCAAACGGCAUAACCAGAAACUCAUAAUGCCCAUACCUGGUUCUGAAAGCUGUCUUUGGCACAUCUGGCUCUUUUACCCGUAACUGAUAAUAACCCGAUCGGAGAUCAAUCUUUGAAAAUACUGUGGCACCUUUCAGUUGAUCAAAUAAGUCAUCAAUUCGAGGCAAUGGGUACUUAUUCUUUAUAGUUACCUUAUUAAGCUGCCGAUAGUCAAUACACAAUCUCAAAGACCCGUCUUUCUUUUUCACAAACAGAACUGGAGCACCCCAAGGUGAAUGACUCGGACGAACAAAACCUCUGUCAACAAGUUCCUGUAACUGUGCCUUUAACUCUUUUAAUUCUGUAGGAGCCAUACGAUACGGAGCUAUGGAAAUUGGGGCAGUUCCCGGAAUCAGAUCUAUAGAAAAUUCCACUUCUCUUUCUGGUGGCAACCCUGGUAACUCCUCUGGAAAUACAUCAGAAAAUUCACAUACAACUGGCACUGCCUGUAUCUUUGACUCAGAUACCUUAGUAUCCAACACAUACGCCAAAUAAACAUCAUACCCUUUUCUAACACACCUCUGAGCUGUCAUAACUGAAAUCAUAUCGGAUAAUCCCUUUGUCUGAUUAGAUUUAACCCAAAGUAAUUCUCCAUUCUGGCAUUUCAACACAACAUAUUUUUGUCUACAGUUUACUACUGCAUCAUGCUGAGUUAACUAAUCCAUGCCCAAUAUCACAUCAAACUCAUCAAAAGGCAAUAACAUCAAGUCAACCGGGAAACAAAUACCUUUUACCAUCAGUGGACAAUUUUUACAAACUUUAUCCACUAUCACAAACUGGCCCAGGGGGUUCGAGACUUUAACCAUAAAUUCAGUAGGUUCAACAGACAAAUUUUUAACAAAUGCUAAUUUUGUGCAUAUAUAUGAAUGUGUAGAGCCAGGAUCAAUUAAUGCAAUAACAGUAGUAUCAUAGAGAGAAAAUGUACCCGCAAUUACAUCAGGAGAGGACGCCUCUUCACGAGCUCGAAUAGCAUAUGAUCUUGCAGGUGCUCUAACAUCUGAUCUAACCGCUGAAUCUUUGAAUGCACCCCUAUCACUUGCCCCCACUCCUGAGUUUCUCUGCGGUCUACCUCUGGUAGGAGCAUUACCUGAUCUCGCACUCGUUAUUUCUUCUCUUUUAGUUGUUUCAGGACAAUACCGAAUAAAGUGAUCGGAUGCUCCACAUCUGAAACAAACAUUUUCACCUGCUCUACACUCUCCGGGGUGGCGUCUCCCACAUUGAGGACAUUCCGGUCUAGGAGGUUGAGUACUGCCAGUACUUGCAACUGUAGUGGUUUGAGCUCUAAAACCCUCGAAUCUUCUACUUCUUCUUCGGCCAGAAUAUAUAUGUGGAAAAUGUGAUCCGCUAGAGAGCUCCCUAGGCCUCUUAGAUGUAGACUGAAAUGAUUUACUCAUUUGCCUCUUCUUUGUAUCCUACGCUCCAGCUUCAGUUUUGCUCUUCUCUUUUUCUUUUAACAAGUCUUCUACUUUACAAGCUCUUUCUACCAGAACAACAAACUCUCUGAUUUCCAAUACACCCACUGAUAGUCGGAUGUCAUCAUUAAGCCCAUCUUCAAAUCUCUUGCACAUGUUGGCUUCGGUGGAUACAAAUUCCCGAGCAUACUUACUAAGUCUGACAAAUUCACGUUCAUAUUCAGUCAUGGACAUCUUACCUUGUUUUAGCUCAAGAAACUCCUUCCUUUUCUGCUCUGUAAAUCUCUGGCUGAUGUACUUCUUUCGAAACUCCUCCUGAAAGAAAUCCCAAGUAACCCUCUCACUCGGUACGAUAGACACGAGAGUCUUCCACCAAUGAUAAGCGGAAUCUCUGAGAAGUGAGACCACACACUUCAUACAUUCUUCCGGUGUACAAGAUAAUUCUUCAAAAACCCUGAUGGUAUUCUCAAGCCAGAAUUCUGCUUUUUCUGCAUCGUCAUCUUUGGUAGCCCGAAAUUCUUCAGCCCCUUGCUUCCUAAUCUUAUCAACAGGUGGUCUCUCCCUGAUAAAUAUACCUACAGCUGGGGAAGCUACAUGGGGAACCUGUGAAUCUUGAGGGGGUGGAGGUCUUACAGCCGGAUUCGUACGAACGAACUCGGCAAACCAAUCAGUCAUGGCUUGGAAGAAGGCUUCUCUAGCUCCUCCUCCCUGUCUAUCUGAUGCAGGUCUUUCACUAACAUUAACAUCUGAUGGCACCGUCCCUUCUGCGGGAAUAGGCGCAUUACUCUCUACUUCAUCUGUACUAGCUCGUUCAGGAUCCAUAACUAUUAAAGAAAAUAUUUUAAAAUCGUCAAGAGUCGUCACACUAUCAAAAUAUAUAAGUAUGGCAUGUAUAGGUAGACUCUUAUUCUUACUGAGUAUUUCCGAGAACCGACUAAACCUACUCUGAUACCAAUAAAAUGUAACACCCCUUACCCGAGACCGUUUCCGGAGUCGAGCACGAGGCAUUACUUAGCUUAUCUUCCAAUUCGGAGCAUAAAAACUAGGUUUGAAAAUUUAUUUCAUUAUUCGCAGCAAAUCUGUCCAAUCGCGCAGCAGUUACUAAAUUAAUUAUAACAUGAGCUACAGAACUCGAAAUUUAAUUCCAUAAAUUUUUCCUGAAACUAGACUCAUAUAUCUACUCACAAUAAAAUUUUUAGAAUUUUUGGUUCAGCAAAUUAGUACAGUUUAUUAGUUAAAGUCUCCACUGUUUCACCACCUGACUGCCCUGACCUCUAGUCACUAAAAAUAAGUUUUCUCACUGUAGGAUUUUCAUAUGAAGUUCUUACUUGUUUCUACAGAAAAUAUACUCAUUAAGAAAUCUAAUCAUGUAAAUUUCAACUCAUAACCAUUUUUGUACAAUUUGUAAUUAUUUUCUAAACUCAGAACAGGGGACUCCAAAAAUAAUUCUGACCCUAUCUUACUAAAAUUCACAUAUCUUAAAAUAUAAAUUUCCUUUUUCUACACCGUUAUUUUUCCAUGAAAAUAGACUCAACAAGAUUUAAUUCCAUAUAUCAUUCACCCUCUAAUUCAUUUUAUACUAUCUUGGGUGAUUUUUCAAAUUCACGUCACUGUGCUGCCUGAAUUCUGUUUCUUUGCAAAAUUUUAUCCUUUCAUGAUUUCCAUGCAUAAUUUAUCACCUAAUCUUUCAUAACAACAAACACCUUCAUCCUUAAUCAUUUUAAUAACCAUACAUCAUCAAAUACUUACACAUCACUCAUUAGCAAAAUCAUCAUUACAAACAUACAAAAUAACUAAAUCCCUAUACAUGCCAUAACUCAAACGUGUUUCGAUAUAAAAUACCGAGCAGUUGUAGUUGAUAGUGUGGACGAUCUCCGACUUCUUUAGGAUCCUUGAAGUAGCUUUGCAAUACUAUAAGAGAAAGAGAAAUAAAAGAAGUAAGCAUAAAGCUUAGUAAGUUUACUAGCAAAUAAAUAACAAUAUUUAACUUAAAUAAUUAAACUCAAUGUCUAUAUCUCUAGUUUACUCUUUAAUUAAUCUCAUACUAGUUCUCUUACUUGUUUACUUAGAAUACUUGUGUGCAUAACUUACUCAAUCCUUGCUGCAUCGUUGAACAUCAAUUGAUAGUAUAAUAAGUUCUUAAGUCUUACAACUUACCUGAGCUUGCCAUUUAUGCUUUAAACUGAACUUUCAUGAACAUGAUUCGUUUACAAGCCCGUUGAGCUACAUUGGAAUAAUAAGGAUACUCGGGUCUCUUCUGAUAAUAACAUGCCAAAGCCAUGUCCCAGACAUGGUCUUACAUGGGAUGUUCUCGUGAUGGUGCCCAUGCCAUGUCCCAGACAUGGUCUUAUAGGGGACCUCUCAUCUCGGUGCCAACGCCAUGUCCCAGACAUGGUCUUACAUGGGACCUCUCGUCUCGGUGCCCAUGCCAUGUCCCGGACAUGGUCUUACAGGGGACCUCUCAUGAUCUUAAGGAUGCCAAUGCCAUGUCCCAGACAUGGUCUUACAUGGGAUCUCUUUACCCAAAUGUCAUGACAUUCGUAUCCAGUACCAUCCUUAUGUAUCAACGGGACUUUUAAAUUUUAAUUCUCUAUCAUUUCAUGCUUGGAUCAUCAUCAAAUAAAUUCAUAAAAUAAAUUCAUAAUUGCUGGAAAUUAACAGAAUUAAUAAUAAAUAUUGAAAUAUUGCAUUUAUUUACCGUAAACUUACCUCGGUACCAAUUAUAGCCAAAUUCACCAACUUAGUCUUCAACUUUAUUCUUCCCUUUGUCUAACCUCGAGUUUCGUACUUCUUGAUCUAAAAUAGUAAAUUUAACUUAUUUAAUAAUCACAUUCAUUAAAACAGCCCUCGACUCUAACUUUUUUAAAAUUACAAUUUUGCCCCUAAACUUUUACAUAAUUACAUUUUUGCCCCCAAGGCUCGGAAAUUAAACUUCAUCUCUUAUUCUUAUGUUUUAUAACAUUCUGAACAUUUUUUCCUUCUAUGGAAACAUCAAAUUCUCACUCUAACAUGUACUUAUGAACAUUAGGUAUUUUUACCGAUUAUGUCGUUUUACUCGUUUUCACUUAAAAUCGCUUAGCAAAAGUUGUUUAACAUAAUUUCUAGCUACAUAUUCUAUCAUAAAACAUCAAAAUAAACACUUUUCACCUAUGGGUAUUUUUCCAAAUAUAAACCCUAGGUUAAAUUAUUGCUAAAAUAAGCUAAAUUAAGUUACCGGGAUCUCAAAAACGUAAAGAACAUUAAAAACGGGGCUUGGGAUCACUUACUAUGGAGCUUGGAAGCUUGAAAACCCUAACUAUGGCUUCCCCCCUUUCUGAUUUCGUUCAUAUGAAGAAGAUGAUGAUUUUUGUCAUCUUUUUCCCUUUUAAUUCAUUUUAAUUACUAGAUUACCAAAUUGCCCCUACUUAAAAAUUUUCUAUUUCACUUAUCUCAUGUCCAUUUUUGUCUACCAAGUUACCAAUGGUAUAAUUACCAUAUAAGGACCUCCAAUUUAAAGUUUCAUAACAAUUGGACACCUCUAACAUGUAGAACUCAACUUUUGCACUUUUUACAAUUUAGUCCUUUUGACUAAAUUGAGUGCCCAAACGUCGAAAUUUUCGAGCGAAAUUUUCAAAAAAUUAUUUUGUGAAAUUGUAGCCCAUAAAAAUAUAAGAAAAAUAAAAUUUUUAUCAUCGGAUUUGUGGUUCCGAAACCACUGUUCCGAUAACCUCAAAUUUGGGCCAUUACACCCAGCUUCCAUUCACUUUAACCUAUAAUGAAAUUAUCUUUUAAAACACUAAGUAAGUUCUUUUUCUGAAUCAACAAUAUAAAAUGUUUUGAACGCUUCGAUGUGGCAUGUCGGAUCCAGUCAUAAAGUCUGGGCCGGAUUUGGGGUGUUACAGUAAGUAAACAAACUUAUAAUAAAUAAAAAGCAUAAAAUAGUAAUAAUGGUAUUAACAAAAUACAUAUAGAUAUAAGUACAAUAACAAUAAUGGUAAUAAAAAAUAAAAAUAAUUGUAAUAAUAAUAGGUAUAAUACAUAAAAUAUAAACAUAAAUAUAAAGAGAGAAAUAAAAUUAGAUAAGACGAAUAUAAAUUAAGAUAUAAUAGCAAUAAUAGCAAUAAUAAUAAAUAUUGAUAAUAAACAAUAAUAAAAGGAAUAAAAAUAAUAGUAAUAAUAAGAAUAUUUAAUAAUAGUAAUAAUAACAACAAUAUAAUAUAUACACGAAAAGUACUGAUAAUAGCGCAAAUAAUAACAAAAAUAAUAAAAUUAACUAAUUUAACAGUAAAAUAGUUAAAUAAUGAAAAAGGGAUUAAAUUGAGGACUGAAACAAAUUAUUAAGUACAAAUUUAGAUAAACAAAAAUGAUUGCAAACUGAAUUAAAAGUGGAAGGACUUAUUUGGCAAAUAACCCACAUAGCAAAAACGCGCGGAUCUUAGGUAAGGCGGGUCGGGUCGCACGGGUAUGGCCAUUGCUCCGGCGAGGUUUCAGUCCGGUCGCCACCGUGGACCACCGCCGUCGCCGCCGUCGCCGGCCACCGCACACGGUGGCCUGAAAAUAUAAAAGGUACGCUUUUUUUAUAUAUUUUUUAAAAUUUUUUUGAUAUAAUCUAAUAUAUUGUAUAGGAAAAGAUAGAUUAAAAAAUAGAGAAAAAAGAAAAAAAAAAGAAGAAAAGAAAAAAAAAC